GACGAACGCUGGCGGCGUGCCUAAUACAUGCAAGUUGAGCGCUGAAGGUUGGUACUUGUACCGACUGGAUGAGCAGCGAACGGGUGAGUAACGCGUGGGGAAUCUGCCUUUGAGCGGGGGACAACAUUUGGAAACGAAUGCUAAUACCGCAUAAAAACUUUAAACACAAGUUUUAAGUUUGAAAGAUGCAAUUGCAUCACUCAAAGAUGAUCCCGCGUUGUAUUAGCUAGUUGGUGAGGUAAAGGCUCACCAAGGCGAUGAUACAUAGCCGACCUGAGAGGGUGAUCGGCCACAUUGGGACUGGGACACGGCCCAAACUCCUACGGGAAGCAGCAGUAGGGAAUCUUCGGCAAUGGACGAAAGUCUGACCGAGCAACGCCGCGUGAGUGAAGAAGGUUUUCGGAUCGUAAAACUCUGUUGGUAGAGAAGAACGUUGGUGAGAGUGGAAAGCUCAUCAAGUGACGGUAACUACCCAGAAAGGGACGGCUAACUACGUG
This 497-nucleotide ribosomal RNA is filed under the name uncultured bacterium. RNAcentral describes it as "partial 16S ribosomal RNA". It matches the Rfam family "Bacterial small subunit ribosomal RNA", at positions 28 to 507 of the family's 1533-position model. The record is from RNAcentral.